This 429-nucleotide ribosomal RNA is filed under the name Chloroflexota bacterium. RNAcentral describes it as "Chloroflexi bacterium partial 16S ribosomal RNA". It matches the Rfam family "Bacterial small subunit ribosomal RNA", at positions 355 to 776 of the family's 1533-position model. The record is from RNAcentral. Lineage: Bacteria; Bacillati; Chloroflexota.
UAGGGAAUCUUCGGCAAUGGACGAAAGUCUGACCGAGCAACGCCGCGUGAGUGAAGAAGGUUUUCGGAUCGUAAAACUCUGUUGUUAGAGAAGAACAAGGACGUUAGUAACUGAACGUCCCCUGACGGUAUCUAACCAGAAAGCCACGGCUAACUACGUGCCAGCAGCCGCGGUAAUACGUAGGUGGCAAGCGUUGUCCGGAUUUAUUGGGCGUAAAGCGCACGCAGGCGGUUUGUUAAGUCAGAUGUGAAAUCCCCGGGCUUAACCCGGGAAUUGCAUCUGAUACUGGUCAGCUAGAGUCUUGUAGAGGGGGGUAGAAUUCCAUGUGUAGCGGUGAAAUGCGUAGAGAUGUGGAGGAAUACCGGUGGCGAAGGCGGCCCCCUGGACAAAGACUGACGCUCAGGUGCGAAAGCGUGGGGAGCAAACAGG